Long non-coding RNA from Scylla paramamosain (green mud crab), 6921 nucleotides. RefSeq lists it as uncharacterized. The transcript has 3 exons. Lineage: Eukaryota; Metazoa; Arthropoda; Malacostraca; Decapoda; Portunidae. The record is from RefSeq and is a predicted model, not a curated record.
GAACUGCACAAUAAAGUCCCAGCAUUAAAAUUUGCAUCCACUGCACUUUGCCAUUGUGACACUAAGUACCUUUGCAGUUAGCCAGCUGGCUGCCAAAGCUACAUGUGGUGAUUUGCUGAAAUUAAUUGAUGUGCUACUCAGAAGUAAAUGACAUUUAACGACAUUCUAAUGCAUCAAUAAAGGGACAGCUCUCAACUGCUGAACAAAAGAGGUACAAGAAAACAUGCACCAUUCCAUACUGGAAACCAACAUAAUAACAUAUGCAUUACACUUUAUCCCUCCAAGAGAGCAUGGACUUAGAAUUUGUGAUGCAGCACAAGAUGGAUCAUGUCACUGUAAUGUAACCAUGUGUGACCCCAAAUCAAAACUCCCACACUCAUGCUGUACAGUGAGUAUUUAUCACCAUAUCUGCAUAAUUUAGCUGCUCCAUAAGGAGUUGCUAUUGGUAAGAUUAUCCAAAGACAGUGAUUUAUACUGGGAAAAACACUUCGCAGGUGCCUUUCAAUGCACCUCACCUGGAUGCAUCAGACAGGACAUAUGAUACCACAGGUGGAUCUGCUCCUCUAGCUGUGUUCUAGACAUUUCAGUCACUGGACUUGGGAUAGGACACAUGUACAAGCUGGGACUGAAAAACACCCCUCAAUGCCCCUGGUGCCCCACACAGCUAGACACUUCAGAACACUUGCUGCUACACUGUCCUUGCCACCACUCCUACUGCACUGCUCUCCUCCAUUCACUAACAUCUCUCCAGCUCCACAGAUCAACAGUAGCAGACCUCCUGGGUGGUUCCCAAGAUCCUGACCUGGCCUUCAAGACACUCAAGCAAACUAAAGACUUCCUCCAGAAGACAAGACCAGAAUCUAACCAGAUAACCUAUAUUUGCUACCAGCACCCUAGGGGUACUAGAUGCUGUAACACCACAGCCUGCAUGACCUUGUCAAAUCCUUAACAUGAACAAGAGCCAGGCUGGAUCUAAUCUCGCACAUCUCUUGAAUAAUGAAGAUACUUGCAGAUGGCCACAGCAUACAACAAACUUAUCUCUGCCCCAACACCAUCCAGUACAUUACCCCUUCACACACGUUGUAUAGCAACACAAAAUUUUUUGCCCCCUCGCCUUCAUUCCAUACAUUCCUUUUUAACCAGAGACCUCAUUGGUUUUGGUAGAGUUCAUCUCUCCCUAUCUUUUAUAUUCUAAAAAAAAUAAAUAAAUAAAUACUCGCAUUGUGGUUCUUCAAACACUUAAACACUUUAUUAUGCUUGGCAUGUAUACAUAUAUCAUUACAUACAAUUUUUAAUAGGUCAAACAGCCCUUUACAAGCAGGAGCCUUAUGGGCAAUAGCAAGUAGAAAUUUUAAUUUUGGAAAUAACAUAUUUUAUAAAAUAGUAGAAGAGGUAAUACAAGCUAAUAGGAACUAUUAUUAUUAAUAUAAAUCAAACUAAUGAUACAGCACAAUGAUGGUAACUCUAGUAAUGUAAUAUAAUAAUACUAUAAUAUCUAUGAUAAUAGUGUAGAAAUGUAUCAGUAUUUAUUAUCUGUAGAUUGCAAUGUGUCUCUUAAAUUUGUCUUUAAAAGACAAUAGGCUGGGUGAGUGUUUGGUAUGACAUCGGUAUGUUAUUCUAUGUUUUAGGUCCAAGAUACAUUAAUGAAUGUUUGUAUAAUGUUAAAUUGGGUCUGGGUAUAUUUAGUGAGUACUGGUUCCUGGUUAGGUAAUUGUGCACAGGUUGUGUAUUGUAGUUACUAGAAUUUAUUCUUUGGUACAUGUAAGAUGAAAUACUGAGUUUUGAUAAGCCAGCAAGGUUUAAGAUAUUUAAUUGUUUAAAUAGUGGGGGUGUAUGUUCACUGUAAUCACUGUUGGUUAUUAUUCUGAUAAUUCUUUUAUGUAGAACAUUAAGCCUGUACAGAUGACAAGAGUAAGUUUGGGACCAAAUAGGAUUACAGUAGUUGAGAUGAGGAUAUAUGUGGGCAUAAUACAAACAUUUAAGAACAUUAUUUGUUUAGUUGAGUGUCAUUGAAGAAGAGGGGAUAGUUGUCUGGAAGGUUGUGUCGAGUUGAUAGAUUGAGAAAUUGAAUUUUUGAGGCAUUUAACAAUACCAAGUUUGCCCUACCCCAAUCAGAAAUUCCAGAAAGAUUAGAAGUCAGGUGUUCUGUGGCCUCCCUGUGUGAAAUGUUUACUUCCUGAAGGGCUGGAUGUCUAUGAAUAGACGUGCAAAAGUGCAUCAGCAUAGGAAUGGAUAGGACGAGAAGUUUGGUUUAAGAGGUCAUUGAUGAAUAAUAAGAAGAGAGUGGAUGACAGGACAGAACCCUGAGGAACACCACUGUUAAUAGAUUUAGGAGAAGAACAGUGACCGUCUACCACAGCAGCAAUGGAACAGUCAGAAAGGAAACUUGAGAUGAAGUUACAGAGAGAAGGAUAGAAGCCGUAGGAGGGUAGUUUGGAAAUCAAAGCUUUGUGCCAGACUCUAUCAAAAGCUUUUGAUAUAUCCAAGGCAACAGCAAAAGUGUCACCAAAAUGUCUAAAAGAGGAUGACCAAGACUCAGUAAGGAAAGCCAGAAGAUCACCAGUAGAGCAGCCUUGACGAAACCCAUACUGGCGAUCAGAUAGAAGGUUGUGAAGUGUUAGAUGUUAAAGAAUCUUCCUGUUGAGGAUAGAUUAAAAACUUUAGAUAGGCAGGAAAUUAAAGCAAUAGGAUGGUAGUUUGAGAGAUUAGAACGGUCAUCCUUUUUAGGAACAAACAGGCUGAAUGUAGGCAAACUUCCAGCAAGAAGGAAAGGUAGAUGUUGACAGACAGCUAAAAGAGUUUGACUAAACAAGGUGCAAGCAUGGAGGCACAGUUUCGGAGAACAAUAGGAACUACCCCAUCAGGUCCAUCAGCCUUCCAAGGGUUUAGGCCAGCGAGGGCAUGGAAAACAUCAUUGUGAAGAAUUUUAAUAGGUAGAAUGAAAUACCUAGUCAGAGGGUGGACGAAAGGGAGGAACAACCCCAGAAUCAUCCAAGGUAGUUUUUAGCAAAGAUUUGAGCGAAGAGUUCAGCUUUAAAAAUAGAUGUGAUAGCAGUGGUGCCAUCUGGUUGAAAUAAAGGAGGGAAAGAAGAAGAAGCAAAGUUAUUGGAGAUAUCUUUGGCUAGAUGCCAGAAGUCAUGAGGGGAGUUUGAUCUUGGAAGAUUUUGACACUUUCUAUUAAUGAAGGAGUUUUUGGCUGGUUGGAGAACAGACUUUGCAUGGUUCCAGGCAGAAAUAUAAAGUGCAUGAGAUUCUUGUGAUGGAAGGCUUAAGUACCUUUUAUGGGCCACCUCUUUUAUCAUGUAUAGCACGAGAACAAGCUGUGUUAAACCAAGGUCUGGGAGGUUUAGGUUGAGAAAAAGAGUGAGGAAUGUUUCUCCAUGCCAGACACUAUCACCUCUGUUAUGCGCUUGGCACACAAAGACGGGUCUCUGACACAGAACCAGUAGUCAUUCCAAGGAAAAUCAGCAAAAUAUUUCCUCAGGUCCCCCCAACUGGCAGAGGGAAAACGCCAGAGGCACCUUCGCUUAGGGGGCUCCUGAGGAGGGAUUGGAAUGAUAGGACAAUAUACAGAUAUGAGAUUGUGAUCGAAGGACCCCAAUGGAGAAGAGAUGAUGACAACAUAAGUAGAAGGACUAGAGGUCAGGAAAAGGUGAAGAAUGUUGGACAGUCAGGAAUACAAGUAGGGUGUUGCACCAAUUGCUCUAGGUCGUGGAGGAUAGCAAAGUUGAAGGCUAGUUCACCAGGAUAGUCAGUAAAGGGAGAGGAAAGCCAAAGCUGGUGGUGAACAUUGAAGUCUCCAAAAAUGGAGAUCUCAGCAAAAGGGAAGUGAGUCAGAAUGUGCUCCACUUUGGAAUUUAAGUAGUCAAAGAAUUUCUUAUAGUCAGAGGAGUUAGGUGAGAGGUAUACUGGGUCUCCUCACAGACUUCAAGUCUGUUGGCUCCUCAUCACAUCCCAUCUGCAAUUUCCUGGUGUCAAUUGUGAGUAGAUAAACUCAUACUAACUAAGGCCUAGUAAACAGAUAUUUUUCCAUAACAAACUCUGCCACUGGUAGGCAAUUUUUUCCCAUAAUCACAUAUUUUUUUACACUUGAUUCUUAAAGGACAGAUUAACCUUCUAUUUUCUUGUUAUGUUCGUGUAGAUAGCAUUUUACAGUGCUUUAAAUGUUAAUAAAAGAUCAAGAUACUGUAGCCUUUCAUGAGGCAGUACAAUUUCCAGAACAUUGUUUUGUUUUGUUAACCUGCAGUACUGUAUCUUAGUUAUCUCUGAGGUAAUGAAAUAAUCAUAUAAUAUCUUUUAUAAUAAUAUUUUCUCAAUAAAGCUCAAAAAGAAAGUCAAUAACAUGAGGAAAUUAAUUAGCCUAACUGUGAUAACAUCUGCUGACUGGAGAAUUUUGAGUUUUCAUAAUGAAUGAACAGUAAUUUUAUAUAGAUAUUAAAUGACAAUACUUACCAUUUUUAUGGUAUAAUAAUUGAUGUUGAAUUAAAUGAUGAUAGCAUUGUCACUAGGGUUUGAUGUGUUUCUCAGGGUCUCUCAUACACCAUAAACAUUUUCCCAGUAGUUUAAAUGUGCCAUGUAGUGUGUUUUCAGAUUGCACAUGACCAUUCAUUCAUUGCCAGAAUACCCUAGUUAGGAUAUGUUUUAAAGCUCCUCAGAGGCAGCUUUAGACAUUUAUCUCCCAUAAAAUGUGAUUAUGGAUAAAACUGGAGAAGUUAAGAUAUUAAUUUUUGCAGAUGUGAAUCCAGAUUUGGAUUAUUUUUACCUUCAGGAAAUGAAGAAAAUACAAGAAAAUAUUUAUAAAUAUAAUAAUCAAAAUACACACACACAUGCACACAGGAGUGUGCAGGGCCCUGAUGGAGUAUCUAAUUGUGUGCUGAAGGAAUUCAGAGAUCAACUUGCCCACAAGGUUUACAAACUAAUCAUAUUUCAUUAAGGGAAGGAGCGGUGCCCAAAGAUUGGAAAAAAGCAGAUAUAGUCCCCAUAUAUAAGAAUGGAAGCAAAGAAAAAACAUCUAAUUAUAGACUGGUGUCAUUAACAAGUGUAGUGGCAGAAAUGUGGAAAAGAAUAGUGAAGCAAAGAUUGAGUGAAUAUCUGCAAAAGAGAGAGAUAUUAACAGACAGACAAUUUGGAUUUAGAAAAAGAAGGUUGUGUACAACAAAUUUAAUAUGUUUCUACUCCAGAGUCAUAGAUAAAGUACAAGAAAGAAGGGGAUGGACAGAUUGUGUUUAUUUGGACUUAAGGAGUGUUCAGUAAAGUUACCCACAAGAGACUGCUGUGGAAAUUAGAAAUACUUGGUGAGAGGUUCAUUCCUACAUUGGAUCAGUGACUUUCUGAGAGGAAGGGAAAUGAGAACAGUGGUCAAAGAUAGGAAGUUCAUCAUGGAGAGAGGUAAUUAGUGGUGUCCCACAGGGUUUGGUUUUAGCACCAGUUAUGUUUGCUAUCUAUAUGAACGAUAUGAUGGAAGGGAUGAAUAGCAACAUGAGUCUAUUUGCUGAUGAUGCAAAAUUGAUGAGAAAAGUGGAAAGGAUAGAGGACUGUGAUGCCCUACAGGAAGAUCUGAAUGUGAUUUGGGAUUGGAGUGGCACUUGAAAAAUGUAGUUUAACAUAAAAAAAUGUGGAGUGUUGAAGUUUGGGCAUAGUUGUGUAAGGUCAUUCUUUAGUUAUAAAUUGGGUAGUGAGGAAAUAAAAGUAGAGUGAAGAGAAAGACCUUGCAAUUACUGUCACUGAUAAGCUGUCCCCAGAGGUAUAUGUAAGAAGAAAGACAGGGGAAACAUGUAAUCUGGUGAGAAACAUGAGAGCAGCAUUCAACUAUCUGGAUGAAGAGGGUUGGCUGUGGCUCUCUGCUUUGGUUGUGGGUCAACUUCCAACUUGCAUUACCUGAAAGCUGUUGUUGUUGCUGCUGUACACUGUGUUACUGCCUCAGUGAGAUGGUUGACCUGUCCCUGCUGCAGAUCACUCUCUGCUAUGUGAGAAUCCUGAGAAUCCUGCAAUUUCAAAACUUCAGCAGCAUGGAUGAAAAUUUGUCCUAGAAUAUCUAGACUACAGCAUUAUGGAUGAAGAUUGAUUCUGAAGAAAGAUUGAAGAAGACUGGUUCUGAAGAUGGACUGUAGAGAAUUUGUAGACUUCAGCAGUAUGAUGAGGAUUUUGGGAGACUUUUUGGCAAGAACUUUUAUUAGAAAACAAAGGGGUUGUGGGAUUGGUAAACAAACAAAGGGUUGGUGGGGAAAAGAUUGAUGAUCUAAGAAAGAUAUGAGAAUAUGAUAUCUAAGAAAGAUAAUCAAUAUGAUUAUUAGAUAUAAGAAAGAUGAAAAAAAAAAUAUGAGAAAAAAAGUGAAAGAUUUAUGAUAGAUAUAAUAGAUAUUAGAUCUAUAAUAGAUUAGAUCAUGAAAAAAAAAUAUGAAAAAAAAAAUGAUUAUUAGAUAUGAGAAAAAAGGUGAAAGAUCUAUCUAUGAUAGAUAUAAUAGUUAUUAGAUCUAUCAUGAAAAAAAAAUCAUUAUGAAAAAAAGUGAUAUGAUUAUUAGAUAAGAUGAGAAAAAAGGUGAGAAUCUAUUAGAUAAGAUGAGAAAAAAGGUGAGAAUCUAUUAGAUAAGAUGAGAAAAAAGGUGAGAAUCUAUUAGAUAAGAUGAGAAAAAAGGUGAGAAAAAAGUGAAAGAUCUAUGAUAGAUAUAAUAGAUAUUAGAUCUAACAUGGGAAUUUGAAAAGAUAUAAUAGAUAUUAGAUCUAACAUGGGAAUUUGAAAAAAAAGUGAGAUUAUUAUAGAUGAUCUAAUAGAUCUUAGAUCAUUAUAGAUCUUAGUCUCUAGAUCUUAGAAAUAAUCUAAGAUAUUAGAUGAGAAAAUAAAAAAAAGUGAAAGAUCCUCAGAACAAAUAGAUAUUAGAUCUCUAAGAUAUUAGAUGAGAAGAUAAAAAAGUGAAAGAUCCU